GAUGAACGCUGGCGGCGUGCCUAAUACAUGCAAGUCGAGCGAACAGAUGAGGAGCUUGCUCCUCUGACGUUAGCGGCGGACGGGUGAGUAACACGUGGAUAACCUACCUAUAAGACUGGGAUAACUUCGGGAAACCGGAGCUAAUACCGGAUAAUAUAUUGAACAGCAUGGUUCAAUAGUGAAAUACGGUUUUGCUGUCACUUAUAGAUGGAUACGCCCCGCAUUAGCUAGUUGGUAAGGUAACGGCUUACCAAAGCAACGAUGCGUAGCCGACCUGAGAGGGUGAUCGGCCACACUGGAACUGAGACACAGUACCGACUCCUACGGGAGGCAGCAGUAGAGAAUCUUCCGCAAUGGGGGAAAGCCUGACGGAGCAAAGCCGCGUGAGUGAUGAAGGUCUUCGGAUCGUAAAACUCUGUUAUUAGGGAAGAACAAAUGUGUAAGUAACUAGGCACGUCUUGACGGUACCUAAACAGAAAGCCACGGCUAACUACGUG
RNAcentral lists this ribosomal RNA (497 nucleotides) under uncultured bacterium. RNAcentral describes it as "partial 16S ribosomal RNA". It matches the Rfam family "Bacterial small subunit ribosomal RNA", at positions 28 to 507 of the family's 1533-position model. The record is from RNAcentral.